This 119-nucleotide ribosomal RNA is filed under the name Nicotiana sylvestris (wood tobacco). Lineage: Eukaryota; Viridiplantae; Streptophyta; Magnoliopsida; Solanales; Solanaceae. The record is from RNAcentral.
GGAUGAGAUCAAACCAGUGCUAACGUAUCGAAUCUUAUCAAAACUCCAAAGUUAAGCGUGCUUGGACGAGAAUAGUGCUAGGAUGGGUGACUCUCUAGAAAGUUCUCGUGUUGCAUCCC